This 520-nucleotide ribosomal RNA is filed under the name uncultured Glomus. Its description in RNAcentral is "SSU rRNA". It matches the Rfam family "Eukaryotic small subunit ribosomal RNA", at positions 569 to 1092 of the family's 1831-position model. Lineage: Eukaryota; Fungi; Glomeromycota; Glomeromycetes; Glomerales; Glomeraceae. The record is from RNAcentral.
AGCAGCUGCAGUAAUUCCAGCUCCAAUAGCGUAUAUUAAAGUUGUUGCAGUUAAAAAGCUCGUAGUUGAAUUUCGAGACCGGUUUAUUGGUCGUGCUUUUGUACGUACUGGUAUUAUUGGUUUCUCCUUUCUGACGAAUCUUAAUGCCAUUAAUUUGGUGUUUUGGGGAAUCAGGACUGUUACUUUGAAAAAAUUAGAGUGUUUAAAGCAGGCUCACGCUUGAAUACAUUAGCAUGGAAUAACGGAAUAGGACGUUUGAUUCUAUUUUGUUGGUUUCUAGGAUCGACGUAAUGAUUAAUAGGGAUAGUUGGGGGCAUUAGUAUUCAAUUGUCAGAGGUGAAAUUCUUGGAUUUAUUGAAGACUAACUACUGCGAAAGCAUUUGCCAAGGAUGUUUUCAUUAAUCAAGAACGAAAGUUAGGGGAUCGAAGACGAUCAGAUACCGUCGUAGUCUUAACCAUAAACUAUGCCGACUAGGGAUCGGAUGAUGUUAAUUUUUAAUGACUCAUUCGGCGCCUUACG